AUUGAUUUUUCCAAACGUGCAAAAAACAUUUCGUCUCCAUUAUCAAUCAAACCGAUUAGUGAAGUUAUUGUUGUUGUUUUUUUUUUUUCAGUAGAAAUUGGCGGAGCGUACGAGGAAACUUGGGGGACAAAUAGAGGAGCAGAGUAGGAAAUUUGGGGGAGGAAUAGAGGAGCAGAGGACGAAUCUUGGCGGAGGAUUAGCAGAGGUUAUUGAGAAAUCGAUGGUAUCCGCUCGACUUGUUGAUUGUCCGGAUUCACCGGAAGAGGAAGGAAUGGGGCUAAUACCCGAUAUGAUGUUUGCAGUCGGAGAGGAACCAGUUGGGGUUCGUGUACUGACUUACCAAUCUUCCGGCGCGUUGAAACGGAUUUUUACAGCUCUAGAUGCAGAGGAAAUUGCGGCUAUAAGAAGCACAUCGUUUGGCAAGCUGGUUGAUAUUGCAGAGAAACCGGUUUUCUCCGGGAGGUUUGCGCGAUGCCUAUUGUCACGGCAGCUGAAGACGAAAAAGAAGUACGAAGUGUGGUUCCGAUUUGCCGGCAAACCGGUUAGGUUCUCUUUGCGAGAAUUCGCAAUUGUAACUGGUUUGCCGUGCGGUAAGUUUCCCCCAAAGUCACGGAUGAAACUGAAGGAAACAAUAGCCGAGAAGCCGUAUUGGCCGUGUUUAUUUGGCAAAGUGGAGUCGGUGAGUGUAGCUGACGUCAUCAAAAUGCUCUACCGGAAAAUAGUGAAAGAUAGAGAAAUCCGGAUUAAGUAUGCUUGCUUGGCAGUUCUUGAAUAUGUCCUUCUCCCAACAAGCAGUAAUAUGAAGAUAACAAGAGAGCAUGCUGAAGCGAUUGGAGAUCUAAACGAGUUUUUGAGUUACCCGUGGGGAAGAGUUGCAUUUCAAAUGCUAAUUGGCAGUAUCAAAGAGAGAGAUGAGAUAGCUCUUUCACAAAAUACAAUCGCAAUUAAAGGAUUCGCUCUUUCUCUCCAGCUCGUUAUGGUUGCAGCGGUUCCAGCUCUGACCGAGGUUGUUCAAGAGAUUCGUUCGUCCUCGGAGUCCGAUAGCGAGGACAUUGAGCGGACCGGGCAUGAGUUAUACAGCAAGAAGCAGACGCUAAAUCCUGCGCACGCUCGAAAUGUUGACAAGACAAACGAUGCGUCCGUUUAUUCCGUCCUAGUAGAUUCCCCAACACGUCCAAUUGAGGCUACUAGUUGCGAAUGGUCGGAUGAAGAGGAGGACACGAAAGUUGCCAACCUGGUUACACGGAUCAGAAGAAAGCAGGACUUUACAACGGCUUCAUUUCGGGGUGGGGUUAGAAUGGGUGAUGUUGAGCGUAUGCGACAGGCGUCGACAGGUAAAAUGAAGGGCAGAAAAGCGAAAAAGGUGUUGCACUAUAUGCAACAGCCGGAUCCGUGUAAUGUUGCUGAUAUUGUAAUCGAGAAAAUAAGUCCCAAGUUAGAACUUAUGGAUAGAAACAUUCAGUCUGCAUGUGCUUCUGUAGCUUCGGUUGAGGACACCGUAGUAGUGCAAGUAAAGGCUUUGUUUGAUACGUUGAAGAAGGAAAUGCUUAAGUGUGUAACGGAAAUGGUGUCUGCUUUGUGUAAGGAUUUUGUCGGGGUUCAUAAUGGAACACCUAAUAUGCAUCCAUCUGGGGUAAAUGAAGAAGCAUGACAGCCAAGCCUGACACCUUCUGCAGCUGAUGUGAAUCGGAUGUCUAUCGAGAACGUUUUAAACAACCUAAGUGAGUACUCUACACCUCCGCGAGUGAAUGCUAGGUUCCAGGAGGCAAAUUUUGCUAUCUACAAUCGAGAUACUGCAGGUUCGGGCUUUGUUUGCGGACUACAGGUAGAUGAAAAUUGUGCGCAAUCUGCAAACAGUGGCAAUCGGUCCCGACAAAAUUCUUUUUCGCGAAAAU
Raphanus sativus (radish) is the source of this 1895-nucleotide RNA transcript. RefSeq lists it as uncharacterized. The transcript has 3 exons. The record is from RefSeq and is a predicted model, not a curated record. NCBI's taxonomy places the organism in Eukaryota, Viridiplantae, Streptophyta, Magnoliopsida, Brassicales, Brassicaceae.